GCUGUGCAGUGAGAGGAGUCCCUAGGUACUUGGAGCUGGCAAGAAACCCAUAUUGGUGGAGGUAAAAGCCUCAGCCAGAGGCAAAUCCCAGCUUGUCCAGGUGUCUGGAUUCCAGGCCCUGGAAGGCAAAGGGAGCUUGGCAUCUGCUAAGCAGCGUCAGCUAGCGCUAGUCAGUGGCUGGAAGAAGGGACUGGCCUCACUGUCUGCAUGAUGCUUGCACCCAUUGACGGGGAUGCUCUGGAAAGCUCGCUGCAUGCCCUUCGUUCACGGCAGGGUCUCUGCAGGACAUAAGGGAGGGUGUUGCAAUGGGAAGCUAUGCCCUUGCAUAGCUGGUCUGGUCUGACUGUGCUGCAUGUAUGGCAGACGUUGCUGCUCUUGCGCUUGCUGAGUGGAGGCUCUCUCUUGAUGCACAUGGAUUUUUUUUAACUCGUCUGUGGAUCUUUACUGAUGAGGAAUUAACUAACAAGCAGGGCUCACGCUGGGAAAUCUGUCCAUAAACCAUCAAGUGCUCUCAGCGUCUUUGCUCCGCUUUUGCAGCCGGCUGACGGCAGGGACCAAUUCUCUACCUGGCUCCAGCCAGAGGGCAGCCCGGGAAAGGGCAACUCCUCCUGAGCCGAUGCAACUUAUUGACUCGGCUCCUGCUGUCCCCUGUGUUGAGCUCCUCUUGUCAAGUCAUUGGGAGCAUUGGAUGCUCUUCUUGCUCUUUGUUUUUGUUGUUUGUUUUUCCUUCUGAUAAAACCAUCUUUCCCCAGCUGUCAAAAGUGUCCUUUCUGGCUCCUUGUGAUCACCCACCCCGGUGCCCUCUCAUGCCGUGUGGCCCCCUCCCCGGCAUCUCUUGUCACAGGAACAGCCUCCAAGGACCUCCUCACUGCAUCGACUCCCCAGCAUGCUUCAAGUCUUGGGCCAAGCAGCUCUGCAGAUGUUCCCCGCGCAGAACCCACCG
Molecule: long non-coding RNA, 943 nt
Organism: Alligator sinensis (Chinese alligator)
Lineage: Eukaryota; Metazoa; Chordata; Crocodylia; Alligatoridae
Exons: 3
Source: RefSeq, a predicted model, not a curated record